GUGCCAGCCGCCGCGGUAAUACAGAGGUCCCAAGCGUUGUUCGGAUUCACUGGGCGUAAAGGGUGCGUAGGUGGUCGGGUAAGUCUGAUGUGAAAUCUCCGAGCCUAACUCGGAAACUGCAUCGGAUACUAUUCGGCUUGAGGGUUGGAGGGGGGACUGGAAUACUUGGUGUAGCAGUGAAAUGCGUAGAUAUCAAGUGGAACACCAGUGGCGAAGGCGAGUCCCUGGACAACUCCUGACACUGAGGCACGAAAGCUAGGGGAGCAAACAGGAUUAGAUACCCCCGUAGUCC
Molecule: ribosomal RNA, 292 nt
Filed under: uncultured bacterium
Lineage: Bacteria
Description: partial 16S ribosomal RNA
Rfam family: Bacterial small subunit ribosomal RNA
Source: RNAcentral